AGCGAACGCUGGCGGCAGGCUUAACACAUGCAAGUCGAACGGGCACUUCGGUGCUAGUGGCAGACGGGUGAGUAACGCGUGGGAACGUGCCUUUCGGUUCGGAAUAAUCCAGGGAAACUUGGACUAAUACCGGAUACGCCCUUCGGGGAAAGAUUUAUCGCCGAAAGAUCGGCCCGCGUCUGAUUAGCUAGUUGGUGAGGUAAAGGCUCACCAAGGCGACGAUCAGUAGCUGGUCUGAGAGGAUGAUCAGCCACACUGGGACUGAGACACGGCCCAGACUCCUACGGGAGGCAGCAGUGGGGAAUAUUGGACAAUGGGCGAAAGCCUGAUCCAGCCAUGCCGCGUGAGUGAUGAAGGCCUUAGGGUUGUAAAGCUCUUUUGUCCGGGAAGAUAAUGACUGUACCGGAAGAAUAAGCCCCGGCUAACUUCGUGCCAGCAGCCGCGGUAAU
Molecule: ribosomal RNA, 449 nt
Filed under: uncultured bacterium
Lineage: Bacteria
Description: bacterial SSU rRNA
Rfam family: Bacterial small subunit ribosomal RNA
Source: RNAcentral